CGACCGGCGCACGGGUGAGUAACGCGUAUGCGACCUGCCCGUUGCAGGGGGGAUAAUCGGGAGAAAUCCCGUCUAAUACCGCGUAACGCCGCGGGGCUGCAUGGCCCUGCGGCCAAAGGGAGCGAUUCCGGCAACGGAUGGGCAUGCGUGACACUAGCUAGUUGGCGGGGCAACGGCCCACCAAGGCGACGAUGUCUAGGGGUUCUGAGAGGAAGGUCCCCCACACUGGUACUGAGACACGGACCAGACUCCUACGGAAGGCAGCAG
RNAcentral lists this ribosomal RNA (267 nucleotides) under uncultured bacterium. RNAcentral's name for it is "partial 16S ribosomal RNA". It matches the Rfam family "Bacterial small subunit ribosomal RNA", at positions 92 to 354 of the family's 1533-position model. The record is from RNAcentral.